UACGGGGGGGGCAAGCGUUGUUCGGAAUUACUGGGCGUAAAGGGCUCGUAGGUGGCCAAUUAAGUCAGACGUGAAAUCCCCAGGCUCAACUUGGGAACUGCGUCUGAUACUGGUUGGCUUGAAUUCGGGAGAGGGAUGCAGAAUUCCAGGUGUAGCGGUGAAAUGCGUAGAUAUCAGGAGGAACACCGGUGGCGAAGGCGGUUCUCUGGGCAUUACCUGACGCUGAGGAGCGAAAGUGUGGGGAGCGAACAGG
This 253-nucleotide ribosomal RNA is filed under the name uncultured bacterium. Its description in RNAcentral is "partial 16S ribosomal RNA". It matches the Rfam family "Bacterial small subunit ribosomal RNA", at positions 524 to 776 of the family's 1533-position model. The record is from RNAcentral.